UUAGCGCGGUGGUCCCACCUGCCCCCAUGCCGAACUCAGAAGUGAAACGCCGUCUCGCCGAUGGUAGUGUGGGGUCUCCCCAUGUGAGAGUAUGGAACUGCCAGGC
RNAcentral lists this ribosomal RNA (106 nucleotides) under Enterobacter cloacae. The record is from RNAcentral. Lineage: Bacteria; Pseudomonadati; Pseudomonadota; Gammaproteobacteria; Enterobacterales; Enterobacteriaceae.